GCAGCGACGCCGCGUGGGGGAUGACGGCCUUCGGGUUGUAAACCUCUUUCAGUAUCGGCGAAGCUCCCAGGUUUUCUUGGGGGUGACGGUAGGUACAGAAGAAGCACCGGCCAACUACGUGCCAGCAGCCGCGGUAAUACGUAGGGGGCGAGCGUUGUCCGGAAUCAUUGGGCGUAAAGCGCGUGUAGGCGGCUCGAUAAGUCUGCUGUGAAAGUCCAGGGCUCAACCCUGGAACGCCGGUGGAAACUGUCGAGCUAGAGUCCGGAAGGGGCGAGUGGAAUUCCUGGUGUAGCGGUGAAAUGCGCAGAUAUCAGGAGGAACACCGAUGGCGAAGGCAGCUCGCUGGGACGGCACUGACGCUGAGACGCGAAAGCGUGGGGAGCAAACAGGAUUAGAUACCCUGGUAGUCCACGCCGUAAACGAUGGGUACUAGGUGUAGGGGGUGUCGACUCCCCCUGUGCCGACGCUAACGCAUUAA
This 478-nucleotide ribosomal RNA is filed under the name uncultured bacterium. Its description in RNAcentral is "bacterial SSU rRNA". It matches the Rfam family "Bacterial small subunit ribosomal RNA", at positions 388 to 863 of the family's 1533-position model. The record is from RNAcentral.